CAUUUGUGCAACAAGCAGACAACAACAACAACACACACACUCACAAUCGUUCACUAUCUAUCUCCGGUGUUUAUUCCGACGACGAACCGGCUCCGAUCGGAGCUCCGGCGAGCCACACCCACACCGGUAAACCCUCACACCAACACCCCUGAUCCAUCUUCCUCUCGAGCUCCGGCGAUCGGAGCUAAAUCCGACUGUUUUCCGGUCGUUGACUGUCACACACACACCCCCUUUCUUCUCCGGUGAACCACACCUCCCCUUCUCUCUAUUUUUACAGGUCGUACACCCCCACCCACCCCUGAUUGAGCAGAAACGACCACCACCACAGUCGGGUGGUGGUGAGCGGCGGCUGAAGACAGAAGCGGAAGAGAGAGAGAGAGAGAGAGAGAGAGAGACGAGACGGAGAGAUAGAGGCAGGGAAGGAGAGAGAGAGAACCGGCGGUCUGGCGGUCGGUGCCUUUGACCGGCGGACAUUGCUUUUAUCCAGCGAGUUCACCGGUUUCGGGUUCAACUUGGUUCUGGUUCGAGUCAGUUUUGGGGAUUCAAGCAGCAGAGAACGAGAUGGAGACUCGGACCACCGGUCAGUUUGGUUAUCCGGCGGUCCUCGACAUUAUCCGAUGGGUUUUAUGGUGGGUGGUUCAACGGUUCGGCUUCGAGGUGUAUUGUGGCUCGGUCCAGUUUCAGGUUCGGGUUCUAACAGAUCAGAUUUUAGUUCAACUCAGUUCGACUCGGUGCAUUUCGGCUCGACUCAGUGCAUUUCGGCUUGACUCAGUGUAGUUCGGCUCGACUCGGUCUGACUCGGUCAACCGAGUCAACUCAGUCAGACCCGGUCAACUCAACGAGUCAACGCGGUUGACUCGGUCAACUGUCAAGCGGCUCGAUAUGCGACACGAAGACUUGGUAAAAGUAAACGAUGCGUUUAAUAUUUAUGAUUUUAUAAAGUUUGAUUAAAUACACGAUAUCGAGCUCAAACCGAACGAAUUAGUGUUUAAGUUAUAUUUUGUCGCCUUUACAAGAAUUAUGUAUAUUGGUGGUUUGAACAUUGA
Helianthus annuus (common sunflower) is the source of this 1046-nucleotide long non-coding RNA. RefSeq lists it as uncharacterized. The transcript has 2 exons. The record is from RefSeq and is a predicted model, not a curated record. NCBI's taxonomy places the organism in Eukaryota, Viridiplantae, Streptophyta, Magnoliopsida, Asterales, Asteraceae.